This 253-nucleotide ribosomal RNA is filed under the name uncultured bacterium. RNAcentral's name for it is "partial 16S ribosomal RNA". It matches the Rfam family "Bacterial small subunit ribosomal RNA", at positions 524 to 776 of the family's 1533-position model. The record is from RNAcentral.
UACGUAGGGGGCUAGCGUUGUCCUGAAUCAUUGGGCGUAAAGCGCGUGUAGGCGGUCCGGUAAGUCCGCUGUGAAAGUCGGGGGCUCAACCCUCGGAUGCCGGUGGAUACUGUCGGGCUUGAGUACGGAAGAGGCGAGUGGAAUUCCUGGUGUAGCGGUGAAAUGCGCAGAUAUCAGGAGGAACACCAAUUGCGAAGGCAGCUCGCUGGGACGUUACUGACGCUGAGACGCGAAAGCGUGGGGAGCAAACAGG